This is a long non-coding RNA of Ostrea edulis (European flat oyster), 397 nucleotides long. RefSeq lists it as uncharacterized. The transcript is spliced from 5 exons. The record is from RefSeq and is a predicted model, not a curated record. NCBI's taxonomy places the organism in Eukaryota, Metazoa, Mollusca, Bivalvia, Ostreida, Ostreidae.
CGCGAUUGCAUAAUUGCUUGAUAUUUAUAUAAACCUCGAAAUUCAGUCAUUUUAGCCAAAUCUGUCAAUCAAGGAUUUUACUGUUUGAUCAUGAACAAAUACGUGCUUGUAUUCGUGGCGUUGAUGCUAAUUACUGGGAUGGCCACAGUGUGUGAAGGGAAUGCAGCGUGGAGAUCAUACUACUAUCGGCCAUCAGCUUCCAGAAUGAGAAGUUUUCGAUCCAGAAGCAGAUUCAAUCCUCGGUCUCGAUCUACCGGCGGAUGGGCAAGACAGUUUGGGCGGCGGCGUUGACCCGCUUCAUGACACGUGUCCGAGCGUGAUCAGACUGGGUUGAGGCUGGUCUAUAUUGUUAUCCAAUACCUUUUCUAUUUUUGUAAUAAAAUGUUGACUUCCUUUA